Molecule: ribosomal RNA, 492 nt
Filed under: uncultured bacterium
Lineage: Bacteria
Description: partial 16S ribosomal RNA
Rfam family: Bacterial small subunit ribosomal RNA
Source: RNAcentral
AGUGAACGCUGGCGGUAGGCCUAACACAUGCAAGUCGAACGGCAGCACAGUAAGAGCUUGCUCUUACGGGUGGCGAGUGGCGGACGGGUGAGGAAUACAUCGGAAUCUACUUUUUCGUGGGGGAUAACGGAGGGAAACUUACGCUAAUACCGCAUACGACCUACGGGUGAAAGCAGGGGAUCUUCGGACCUUUCGCGAUUGAAUGAGCCGAUGUCGGAUUAGCUAGUUGGCGGGGUAAAGGCCCACCAAGGCGACGAUCCGUAGCUGGUCUGAGAGGAUGAUCAGCCACACUGGAACUGAGACACGGUCCAGACUCCUACGGGAGGCAGCAGUGGGGAAUAUUGGACAAUGGGCGCAAGCCUGAUGCAGCCAUACCGCGUGGGUGAAGAAGGCCUUCGGGUUGUAAAGCCCUUUUGUUGGGAAAGAAAAGCUGCAGAUUAAUACCCCGCUGUUCUGACGGUACCCAAAGAGUAAGCACCGGCUAACUUCGUG